AAAAUCCGUCGACUUUAGAAAUCG
Molecule: transfer RNA, 24 nt
Filed under: Murraya koenigii
Lineage: Eukaryota; Viridiplantae; Streptophyta; Magnoliopsida; Sapindales; Rutaceae
Also listed under: 5 other names
Description: Bergera koenigii partial tRNA-Leu
Source: RNAcentral